This 467-nucleotide ribosomal RNA is filed under the name uncultured bacterium. RNAcentral describes it as "partial 16S ribosomal RNA". It matches the Rfam family "Bacterial small subunit ribosomal RNA", at positions 29 to 507 of the family's 1533-position model. The record is from RNAcentral.
ACGAACGCUGGCGGCGUGCUUAACACAUGCAAGUUGAACGGAAAGGCCCUGCUUUUGUGGGGUGCUCGAGUGGCGAACGGGUGAGUAACACGUGAGUAACCUGCCCUUGACUUUGGGAUAACUUCAGGAAACUGGGGCUAAUACCGGAUAGGAGCUCCUGCUGCAUGGUGGGGGUUGGAAAGUUUCGGCGGUUGGGGAUGGACUCGCGGCUUAUCAGCUUGUUGGUGGGGUAGUGGCUUACCAAGGCUUUGACGGGUAGCCGGCCUGAGAGGGUGACCGGCCACAUUGGGACUGAGAUACGGCCCAGACUCCUACGGGAGGCAGCAGUGGGGAAUAUUGCACAAUGGGCGGAAGCCUGAUGCAGCAACGCCGCGUGCGGGAUGACGGCCUUCGGGUUGUAAACCGCUUUCGCCUGCGACGAAGCGUGAGUGACGGUAAUGGGUAAAGAAGCACCGGCUAACUACGUG